GUCCGCUCGAGAUUCAAAUCCCGGUCCAUUCGCGAGGAGACGAAUCCUACCCAACAUAAACCUCCCCGCACUCGAUAGGGAGGCGGCACGCCGACGACCAUGGCCGCCUCCAUCUCCUUCGCUCUCUCUCACUCUUCUCUCCGCUCUCUGUCCUUGAUCUCUCUGCUCCGCCUCCCUCCAUCUCUCCACUCCCACAAACCCGUCCUCGUUCUCCGAAACCCUAGCUCUCGGUCGCCGGUGGCUUCCAUGAGCGUCGAAGCUCCCAAAAUGUCCCCCGAUGCCUCUUUCUUGGAUCGGAAGGCGUCCGGCCUUCUCCAUUUCGUCAAAUACCAUGGUCUUGGAAACGAUUUCAUCAUGGUCGAUAAUAGGGAUUCCUUGGAGCUUAGGGUUACUCCCGAGCAGGCCGUGAAGCUCUGCAAUCGGAAUUUUGGGAUCGGUGCUGAUGGUGUAAUCUUUGCAAUGCCGGGGGUCAAUGGCACCGAUUACUCCAUGAGGAUCUUCAACUCGGAUGGCAGCGAGCCUGAGAUGUGCGGUAAUGGAGUACGCUGCUUUGCUCGAUUUAUUGCUGAGCUUGAAAACCUACAUGGGAUGGAAAGUUUUAAAAUUCACACUGGUGCCGGUUUAAUUGUUCCAGAAAUCCAAAAUGAUGGGAAGGUGAAAGUGGAUAUGGGUGAGCCUAUACUUACAGCACAAGAUAUUCCCACUAAACUUCCAGCAGACAAGAGUGGAGCUGUCAUCCAAGCUGAAUUGGUGGUUGAUGGCAUACCAUGGAAUGUAACCUGUGUUAGUAUGGGAAAUCCUCAUUGCAUAACUUUUGGCACUAAAGCAUGUGAGGCUUUGGAGGUGGAUGACUUAAAACUUGGAGAUAUUGGUCCAAAAUUUGAGCACCAUGAGAUGUUCCCCUCUCGUACUAAUACAGAAUUUGUGCAAGUCUUCUCUCGUUCACAUCUAAAAAUGCGUGUAUGGGAACGUGGUGCAGGAGCAACUCUAGCCUGUGGGACUGGAGCUUGUGCAGUUGUUGUCGCAGCAGUUCUAGAGCGCCACACUGAAAGGACAUGCAUUGUUGAUUUGCCUGGUGGGCCACUGGAGAUUGAGUGGAGGGAGGAAGACAACCAUGUUUACAUGACAGGCCCUGCAGAGGCAGUGUUUUAUGGAUCUGUGCCCCUUUAGCUCAGCAAUUUGGAUUAGUUUCUAAGACGUUUGCUUCAAGAAGAGAUGAUAAUGAGUCCAAUUGAAAGAAAUGCUUAUCAAAUGUUUUCGUAUUAAGAACCAACAGGAGGGAACAAAAGUAAAAGCUGCAGUUCAAAUAAAAUGUUUGGUUAAGAUUCAAAGCAUUGUCUGGUGGCUGAUUCCAAUGGUCUACUUGGAUAUGCUCGGCAAAUUUUGUGUCCUCUAGUUCGAAUUACUGUGGCCUGGUCUUUCCGAACAUCUCAGGCAUGCGAUCGACUUGUUGGCAGACACCAUACUUUGGUGUCAAAACUUGUGGUUGUGUCAGAACAGCAAUCUUUACUCCUUUCGUGGUACAAAUUAUUGUCCUUAGGAUUAUGUUGUGUGAUGUAAUUGCACGAUUUAUGUUUUGCAUGCCAUCUUUUGAGCA
RNA transcript from Elaeis guineensis (African oil palm), 1597 nucleotides. It is a transcript of the gene named diaminopimelate epimerase, chloroplastic, with no coding region annotated. NCBI's taxonomy places the organism in Eukaryota, Viridiplantae, Streptophyta, Magnoliopsida, Arecales, Arecaceae. The record is from RefSeq and is a predicted model, not a curated record.